Molecule: ribosomal RNA, 470 nt
Filed under: uncultured bacterium
Lineage: Bacteria
Description: bacterial SSU rRNA
Rfam family: Bacterial small subunit ribosomal RNA
Source: RNAcentral
GGACCCGCACAAGCGGUGGAGCAUGUGGAUUAAUUCGAUACUAACCGAAGAACCUUACCCAGGUUUGACAUCGAUGGCAAGCCCCUGAAAGGGGGCCCUCUUCCCACAAGGAAGACCUGAAGACACUUGUUGCAUGGCUGUCGUCAGCUCGUGCCGUGAGGUGUACGGUUAAGUCCGCCAACGAGCGCAACCCUCGCCCUAUGUUGCCAGCGAGAAAGUCGGGAACUCAUAGGGGACCGCCGGUGUAAGCCGGAGGAAGGUGGGGAUGACGUCAAGUCAGCAUGGCAGUUACGCCUGGGGCUUCACACAUGCUACAAUGGGCGAAACAAUGGGCAGCAAUACCGCGAGGUGGAGCUAAUCCCAAAAAUACGCCCCCAGUUCAGAUUGCAGUCUGCAACUCGACUGCAUGAAGGCGGAAUCGCUAGUAAACGCAGGUCAGCUAUACUGCGUUGAAUACGUUCCCGGGUCUU